CGCCAGGUACACCUCGUUGAUCGCCGCCUCGGGCAGCAGCUCACAGAUCCUCCCCACCGUCCAGGCCGUGGUGUCUCUGACCACCACGCUGGGGUCCUUCAUCAGCUCGAUCAGGGUGGGCAUCGCCUGGCGACGACCAGGCCCGGGGAGCAAUUAGGGGUCAGGUGUCUUGCUGAGGGACACUUCGACAUGGGGCAGCCGGGGCUCGAACCGGCGAACCCUCUCUACCCCGGCGCCACGUCGACCUGGAACCUCGACCUAAAUUAAUCAUUUAGGGGUCAUAAUUAAGGAAACCCUUGUGAGAUUCGUACGGAUCGAGUCGUAUUUUGCCUGGAAAACAUUCAACUGAAAGGAGUUCUCACCGCGAACAGAGCCGGGCCCAUGUAGGUCUCCAUGUACUGGUAGUACAGAGACAUGAUCUUCACCAGGUUCUGUAAGGCCGCCACACGCACCUGGACAGUGAACACAUCGUCAGGACACGCCCACAAACAACGUUUCAUCAGUCACCAUGGAGACGUUACUCACUCUGGUGUCGGGACACUGCGUCGCUUCACACACCACUUGCAUGAUGAAGUGUCUCUCCGUCUGAAACACAGGCAGGAAGUCCUUUCACAUUAAAACUAUAGGCACCGUCAAAAUAAAACAACUUCCUCCUUGG
This is a long non-coding RNA of Gasterosteus aculeatus aculeatus (three-spined stickleback), 658 nucleotides long. The record is from Ensembl. NCBI's taxonomy places the organism in Eukaryota, Metazoa, Chordata, Actinopteri, Perciformes, Gasterosteidae.